Molecule: ribosomal RNA, 253 nt
Filed under: uncultured bacterium
Lineage: Bacteria
Description: partial 16S ribosomal RNA
Rfam family: Bacterial small subunit ribosomal RNA
Source: RNAcentral
UACAUGGGGUGCAAACGUUGCUCGGAAUCAUUGGGCGUAAAGCGCGCGUAGGCGGUUACUUAAGUUGGAUGUGAAAGCCCUCGGCUUAACUGAGGAAGUGCAUCCAAAACUGAGUAGCUAGAGUACGAAAGAGGGUCGCGGAAUUCCCGGUGUAGAGGUGAAAUUCGUAGAUAUCGAGAAGAACACCGGUGGCGAAGGCGGCCAUCUGGACGGUGACUGACGCUGAGACGCGAAAGCGUGGGGAGCAAACAGG